GGGUGGAGGCGGCGGGAGGGGAGGGAGCGGGCGGAGAGGAGGAGGAGGAUCUGGAGGGCGAGGAUGGAGAGGAUGAGGAGGCGGCGGCAGCGAGGGGAGAGGAGAGGAGAGGCAGUGGUUACAGCGGCGGGGGAGGCGGCGCCCGGAGAGGCGGUCGGGGAGGAGAAGGAGCGGAGCUUUUUGAGGAGCUGGGCCUCGGCGGAGGGGGAGCUGGAGAUGGCGAGCAUUUGCCGGCGGCGGUGAUUGGAUUCGGAGAGAGAAUGGAGG
RNAcentral lists this unclassified non-coding RNA (267 nucleotides) under Hevea brasiliensis (rubber tree). Lineage: Eukaryota; Viridiplantae; Streptophyta; Magnoliopsida; Malpighiales; Euphorbiaceae. The record is from RNAcentral.